RNAcentral lists this ribosomal RNA (468 nucleotides) under uncultured bacterium. RNAcentral's name for it is "partial 16S ribosomal RNA". It matches the Rfam family "Bacterial small subunit ribosomal RNA", at positions 28 to 507 of the family's 1533-position model. The record is from RNAcentral.
GACGAACGCUGGCGGCGUGCUUAACACAUGCAAGUCGAACGGAAAGGCCCUGCUUUUGUGGGGUGCUCGAGUGGCGAACGGGUGAGUAACACGUGAGUAACCUGCCCUUGACUUUGGGAUAACUUCAGGAAACUGGGGCUAAUACCGGAUAGGAGCUCCUGCUGCAUGGUGGGGGUUGGAAAGUUUCGGCGGUUGGGGAUGGACUCGCGGCUUAUCAGCUUGUUGGUGGGGUAGUGGCUUACCAAGGCUUUGACGGGUAGCCGGCCUGAGGGGGUGACCGGCCACAUGGGGACUGAGAGACGGCCCAGACUCCUACGGGAGGCAGCAGGGGGGAAUAUUGCACAAUGGGCGGAAGCCUGAUGCAGCAACGCCGCGUGCGGGAUGACGGCCUUCGGGUUGUAAACCGCUUUCGCCUGUGACGAAGCGUGAGUGACGGUAAUGGGUAAAGAAGCACCGGCUAACUACGUG